RNAcentral lists this ribosomal RNA (440 nucleotides) under uncultured bacterium. RNAcentral describes it as "partial 16S ribosomal RNA". It matches the Rfam family "Bacterial small subunit ribosomal RNA", at positions 338 to 795 of the family's 1533-position model. The record is from RNAcentral.
CCUACGGGCGGCUGCAGUAGGGAAUAUUGCUCAAUGGGGGAAACCCUGAAGCAGCAACGCCGCGUGGGGGAUGAAGUUUUUAGGAUUGUAAACUCCUUUUGUUAGAGAAGAUUAUGACGGUAUCUAACGAAUAAGCACCGGCUAACUCCGUGCCAGCAGCCGCGGUAAUCCGUAGGGUGCAAGCGUUACUCGGAUUCACUGGGCGUAAAGAGUGCGUAGGCGGCGUAAUAAGUCAGAUGUGAAAUCCUGUAGCUCAACUACAGAACUGCAUUGGAAACUGUUAUUCUGGAGGGUGGGAGAGGUAGGUGGAAUUCCUGGUGUAGGGGUAAAAUUCGUAGAGAUCAAGAGGAAUACGCAUGGCGAAGGCGACCUGCUGGAACAUUACUGACGCUGAUGCACGAAAGCGUGGGGAGCAAACAGGAUUAGAUACCCCAGUAGUC